This is a long non-coding RNA of Monodelphis domestica (gray short-tailed opossum), 1537 nucleotides long. The record is from Ensembl. Lineage: Eukaryota; Metazoa; Chordata; Mammalia; Didelphimorphia; Didelphidae.
AGAGAAGUAAUUUUUGUACCUGGUUUAUGGUCAUUGUGGAGGGUUUGCUAGAUGCUGAAGAAGGCUCACUUGGGGAAAAAUGAAAUGUUCCUUGAUUGAAUGGAAGAAAUAUUUCAAAGAGGAAACAAAUAAGAAAAAAUGAUGUGAAGAAGGUGAAUGGGGAAUUCUAAUCUAUUUCAUGUGUUUGGAGGGAGGAGAUGAAUAUGACUCAGAGAAAUGAAGGAACAAUGGUACCUUAAAAAAAUCUAGAGCUGAAUGAUAAAUAUGAAGCUCUUCCUUUAGAGAAGAGAACUGGCCCUUCUGAAGAGGAAGAAACAUCUUGGACUCCAAGAAAUGAUAAUGCAGACCCACAGACGCCAUGAGGAAUGAGGUCACUCAGGAAUGCUCAGAGAAAGAAGAAAAGAGAAGGGUACAGAAGGGGGAAAUGAUGGCCUGAACAUUGAAGGAUCUGGACCUGAACUGGAACAGGAGGCUCAAGCCCUGGAUAGGAAAAGUCUUAGGGUCCCAUUCAAGCUUCUCUCUCUUACCUGGGUUUAAUUUCUAUUCUGAUUCUUAGAGCAAAUGAUUAAAAUUAGGGCAUGUCUACUGGUACUUCUUUUGCAUGUUCUUCUGGUUCGGAGGAACUCACUACCAUCUUUCUAGUCAUAUGGAGAACCACCCAGGUCCUAUUACCUCUUCUGUUACUACAUCCUAAGGAUCACUUGGCCUUUCCAUUCACACUGUAGCUUAGAACAAGGGCAGCCCAACUUUUCUAUUUAAAUCCUCAGUACUUUGCACAGAAUUGGCAUACGUUAUAGUUUCUUUGGGUCACAGGCUCUUAGAGCCACUCAGUCUAAACCUUCAUAUAUACAUAUGUGCGUGUGUGUGUUUGUGUAAGUGUCCAAUAUAUACUUGUGUUCUCACUUGUGUCUCCAAGAAGAUGGAGCUUGCACAUCAGCCAUACCUGGGUAAAAUCUUCUUCAUAGAUGGGCUAAUCCAGGUUGAGGGCACCCAACAGGUCUCAAACCUGUUGGUGAGUUAGGGGGUGAUGUUUAUCCCAAAGGACAUGACUAUGUGCCUCAGUGGAAUUAGAGGAUGAAAACAAUUUGUUCCAAGGACCAUGAAGGCUCUGUAUGGAGCUUAAUAGAAGAUGCUAAGGUCAUUCUCUGCAUCCCUAGCCAUCAAAGUCAUCCUGACUUCUGUUUGCCUUCAAUGACUCUGGAAGAAAGAGUGAGACUGAUGACUAAAUGAAACUCUGCCUCCCUUACAUUUAAUUUACAUAUGAGUAGGCAUCACCCUAUGAAGGUUGAACAACAUACAAGAUAUGAUAUAAUCUCAAGUCUUUCUGGCUCUCAAGUACAGUGCUCUACUCAAUAUAAUCCUUAUUUAAAAGAACUCAAAGUCCUUCAGAGUUCUGAUUACCAUCUUCUAUGAGUGGUCAGAGCUUUUUUUUAUUCAUUCAUUCAUUCAUACAUUCAUUGUUGGAUCAGAUUGGUAAGAAUGGAUAGGAGGUUGCUUGAAACCAUCUUUUUUCAUUAUCUUCAAACAAGUUCAUCUA